UAGGGAAUCUUCCACAAUGGGCGCGAGCCUGAUGGAGCAACACCGCGUGAGUGAAGAAGGGUUUCGGCUCGUAAAGCUCUGUUGUUGGAGAAGAACGUGCGUGAGAGUAACUGUUCACGCAGUGACGGUAUCCAACCAGAAAGUCACGGCUAACUACGUGCC
This 162-nucleotide ribosomal RNA is filed under the name uncultured bacterium. RNAcentral describes it as "partial 16S ribosomal RNA". It matches the Rfam family "Bacterial small subunit ribosomal RNA", at positions 355 to 509 of the family's 1533-position model. The record is from RNAcentral.